This 417-nucleotide ribosomal RNA is filed under the name Triticum aestivum (bread wheat). RNAcentral's name for it is "partial small subunit ribosomal RNA". The record is from RNAcentral. Lineage: Eukaryota; Viridiplantae; Streptophyta; Magnoliopsida; Poales; Poaceae.
AUGUACCAGCUAAUCCGUGAUCUUCAUGCCCACUCAAAUCUCCCGUGGGUGGCUAUCGGUGAUUUUAACGAGAUAUUAGUAUCAUCAGAGAAAGAAGGAGGUGCUCCUCGGCAGCAGGCUAGACUCCAAGCCUUCCAGGAUGCAUUAUCGGACUGUUCUUUGGAGGAUAUCGGCUACCAUGGCGACAAGUUUACUUUCUUCAGAGGACUAAGAGAAAGGCUGGAUAGGGCCGUCUCGAACUCGGGUUGGAUGGAGAUGCAUCCAUCAUGUGGACUGAUUAAUCUGGACAUGGGCAAGUCGGAUCGUCGACCGAUUUGCUUAGAUACGGAGUCUUGGCCGGAGUUGCUGCGCAACGUCGUCAAGGGGGACGGAAAUUUGAGGCGAGGUGGCUGGCAGAGGAAGCUGUCGAAGAAGUAG